GACGAACGCUGGCGGCGUGCUUAACACAUGCAAGUCGAACGGAAAGGCCUGCUUUCCCUUGUGGAUUGCGGGUACUCGAGUGGCGAACAGGUGAGUAACACGUGAUUGAUCUGCCCCCACCUUGGGUAUAAGCCUGGGAAACUGGGUCUAAUUCCCGAUAGGACUGCAGGGUGGUGCCUGUGGUGGAAAACGAUUUUCUAGUGGUUGGGGAUGAGCUCGCGGCCUAUCAGCUUGUUGGUGGGGUAAUGGCCUACCAAGGCGGCGACGGGUAGCCGGCCUGGGAGGGUGGACGGCCACAUUGGGACUGAGAUACGGCCCAGACUCCUACGGGAGGCAGCAGUGGGGAAUAUUGCACAAUGGGCGGAAGCCUGAUGCAGCGACGCCGCGGGGGGGAUGACGGCCUUCGGGUUGUAAACUCCUUUCGACCGCGAGGAAGCCACCUGGUUGGAAGGGUGGUGACGGUAGUGGUAGAAGAAGCACCGGCUAACUACGUG
RNAcentral lists this ribosomal RNA (494 nucleotides) under uncultured bacterium. RNAcentral's name for it is "partial 16S ribosomal RNA". It matches the Rfam family "Bacterial small subunit ribosomal RNA", at positions 28 to 507 of the family's 1533-position model. The record is from RNAcentral.